UCUUUCACAUUGGUGACUUGUCAUUUGGG
This 29-nucleotide non-coding RNA is filed under the name Rattus norvegicus (Norway rat). The record is from RNAcentral. Lineage: Eukaryota; Metazoa; Chordata; Mammalia; Rodentia; Muridae.